Molecule: ribosomal RNA, 262 nt
Filed under: uncultured bacterium
Lineage: Bacteria
Description: partial 16S ribosomal RNA
Rfam family: Bacterial small subunit ribosomal RNA
Source: RNAcentral
GCAAGUCGAGCGGAAACGACAACAUUGAAUCUUCGGAGGAUUUGUUGGGCGUCGAGCGGCGGACGGGUGAGUAAUGCCUAGGAAAUUGCCUUGAUGUGGGGGAUAACCAUUGGAAACGAUGGCUAAUACCGCAUAAUGCCUACGGGCCAAAGAGGGGGAUCUUCGGACCUCUCGCGUCAGGAUAUGCCUAGGUGGGAUUAGCUAGUUGGUGAGGUAAUGGCUCACCAAGGCGACGAUCCCUAACUGGUUUGAGAGGAUGAUC